GAUGAAGAACGCAGCAAAAUGCGAUAAGUAAUGUGAAUUGCAGAAUUCAGUGAAUCAUCGAAUCUUUGAACGCACAUUGCGCCCGCCAGUAUUCUGGCGGGCAUGCCUGUUCGAGCGUCAUUUCAACCCUCAAGCACAGCUUGGUGUUGGGACUCGCGUUAAUUCGCGUUCCUCAAAUUGAUUGGCGGUCACGUCGAGCUUCCAUAGCGUAGUAGUAAAACCCUCGUUACUUGUAAUCGUCGCGGCCACGCCGUUAAACCCCAACUUCUGAAUGUUGACCUCGGAUCAGGUAGGAAUACCCGCUGAACUUAAGCAUAUCAAUAAGCGGAGGA
Molecule: unclassified non-coding RNA, 332 nt
Filed under: soil metagenome
Description: partial contains 5.8S ribosomal RNA, internal transcribed spacer 2, and large subunit ribosomal RNA
Rfam family: 5.8S ribosomal RNA (bases 1-120)
Source: RNAcentral